Molecule: ribosomal RNA, 237 nt
Filed under: Klebsiella pneumoniae
Lineage: Bacteria; Pseudomonadati; Pseudomonadota; Gammaproteobacteria; Enterobacterales; Enterobacteriaceae
Description: partial 16S ribosomal RNA
Rfam family: Bacterial small subunit ribosomal RNA
Source: RNAcentral
ACCGGCUAACUCCGUGCCAGCAGCCGCGGUAAUACGGAGGGUGCAAGCGUUAAUCGGAAUUACUGGGCGUAAAGCGCACGCAGGCGGUCUGUCAAGUCGGAUGUGAAAUCCCCGGGCUCAACCUGGGAACUGCAUUCGAAACUGGCAGGCUAGAGUCUUGUAGAGGGGGGUAGAAUUCCAGGUGUAGCGGUGAAAUGCGUAGAGAUCUGGAGGAAUACCGGUGGCGAAGGCGGCCCC